CAGCCGCCACGGGAAUACGUAGGUGGCAAGCGUUGUCCGGAAUUAUUGGGCGUAAAGGGCUCGCAGGCGGUUUCUUAAGUCUGAUGUGAAAGCCCCCGGCUCAACCGGGGAGGGUCAUUGGAAACUGGGAAACUUGAGUGCAGAAGAGGAGAGUGGAAUUCCACGUGUAGCGGUGAAAUGCGUAGAGAUGUGGAGGUACACCAGUGGCGAAGGCGACUCUCUGGUCCGUAACUGACGCUGAGGAGCGAAAGCGUGGGGAGCGAACAGGAUUAGAUACCCCCGUAGUCCCUGUCUCUUAUAA
This 301-nucleotide ribosomal RNA is filed under the name uncultured bacterium. RNAcentral describes it as "partial 16S ribosomal RNA". It matches the Rfam family "Bacterial small subunit ribosomal RNA", at positions 509 to 809 of the family's 1533-position model. The record is from RNAcentral.